Tachysurus fulvidraco (yellow catfish) is the source of this 1777-nucleotide RNA transcript. It is a transcript of the gene named nectin-3-like protein, with no coding region annotated. NCBI's taxonomy places the organism in Eukaryota, Metazoa, Chordata, Actinopteri, Siluriformes, Bagridae. The transcript is spliced from 5 exons. The record is from RefSeq and is a predicted model, not a curated record.
CUACAGGCGCUUAUUGCUCAGGUACAAAGUGUGAUUGAGGGGAGCGGCGUUAAGAUGGCGUUUGGAAAAACUGCCCGUUAUCUCAUGAUUAUUACUAAUCAACCGGACACUUAUUUUACACUGCUGAUUCUCUUCGGCAUCGCAUGCGUCUCUCUACAACUUUGCACAUCACCCUUGUUCUUAAAGAUCGACACUACAACACUUCUCCUUCAUUCUUCAGGCAUCUUCUCACUCUCAAAAAUCCUGUUGAACAAUCUAGAUAGAAACUCCACUGCUCUCUCCUAGAUACUUCCACACCUCCACAGGUGUGUCUGGAUUUCAGGUGCUGGUGCCCCCCAAGAUAAAUGGUGAGCUGGGGAUGAGUGCGGUUCUGAGCUGCAGGAUUCAACUGGACGUCGGCCAGAGUCUGACGCAGUCCUCAUGGGAGAGGCGCCUGCCGUCUGGCUGGGUCACCGUGGCCGUCUACAACCCCAAUUUAGGCAUCUCAAUCCAGCCUGAGUAUGAACACCGUAUGGUCUACCGCAAGCCUUCCAUCCAUGAUUCCACCAUCAUUCUGAAUGAUUUAAGAUUCUCAGAUGUUGGCGACUAUAAGUGCAAGGCGACAACUUUUCCUUUGGGCAUCGAAAGAGCCUUCACCACCCUCAGCGUUCUCUCUCCUGUUUCCAUCACCAUUAAGCCUCCUACCACCCCUGUGCUCCAUCUUAAUCCCAAGAUCUCUACCACUGCAGUGCCUGGCAAUAAGCAGCGACUCCUGUUCACCUUCCCGGCCCAGGAGCCACUGAACGAAUACACCCUGUGCAUCAUUGUGGGUGGGCUUGUAAGUGGAGCUCUUUUCCUGUUGCUGCUGGUUCUUGGUGUGGUUUGCUACAAGCGGUGGCAACAUACUUUCCGUGGAGAAUACAACACCAAGCAGAACCUUGCACCUUCAGACAUGCAGGAAGCACAGUCACCUCCACCACACAAGCUUCACAUCCACACCAAUGCUGCAGACAGGGCCAGUCCUGACACCAAGCUUGAACCCUGCCAGGACAUCAAUGGUGCCAUCCAGGAAGGUAGUAGAGCUUGGCAGCUGAACCACCAACUAGACCACCAGAGCUUCCUCUGCACCCUAAACAAGCACAGGAGCUCGAUGGAGCCUGAGUUCUGCACAUGCCCUCAUGUUAUGGAAAACGGCUCUCCCUUACUGCGAGAGGACUGCAAUUACACUGACUUUGUGUUGCACACAGAUGGCUCCAUUAUAUCCCGUUGGGAAUUGCACGUCUAACUAGGGUGGUACUGCAGAAACUGACGGCUUAAAGCAGCAAAACCCUUCUGCAGAAGACGUCAAACUUGCAACAGUAUAUGAUGAGCUGUGACCCUUAUAAUGAGGUAUGCAACUGUCACGGUUGAAGCGCCUGACUCGCCUCCCGAGCACCAACACAGAGAACUGUCUCCGGAGUAUUAGUCAUUUUCGGACUGUGUUUCCCAUAAUCCUCUUACUGGAACUGAUUGCACCACCACCUGCUUCCAAUCACCCACUUCCUAUAGAGCCUGAACUUGAACUUGACGCCAGUGCGAAGUCUCGAUCAGCCAUUGCGAUUAUUCUGAGCGUUUACCUGUUUGUCUCUAGUUCCAUUUUUUGCUACUCUGUUUCUGUCUUUGGUUUAUUGAUUUGCCUGCCCUGACCUUCUGCCUGUAAUCCUGACUACGAUUUCUGCCUCCGCCACAUUAUUGUGUUUGCCAUCUUUGACCUUUGCCUGUUGCUUACAAGAUUGUUCAAUAAAAGCUGCAAAUGGAU